RNAcentral lists this ribosomal RNA (514 nucleotides) under uncultured bacterium. RNAcentral's name for it is "bacterial SSU rRNA". It matches the Rfam family "Bacterial small subunit ribosomal RNA", at positions 8 to 518 of the family's 1533-position model. The record is from RNAcentral.
AGAGUUGAUCAUGGCUCAGGAUGAACGCUAGCGACAGGCUUAACACAUGCAAGUCGAGGGGCAGCAUAAAGUAGCAAUACUUGGUGGCGACCGGCGCACGGGUGAGUAACGCGUAUGCAACCUACCUAUCAGAGGGGAAUAACCCGGCGAAAGUCGGACUAAUACCGCAUAAAACAGGGGCACCGCAUGGUGAUAUUUGUUAAAGAAAUUCGCUGAUAGAUGGGCAUGCGUUCCAUUAGGUAGUUGGUGAGGUAACGGCUCACCAAGCCGACGAUGGAUAGGGGAACUGAGAGGUUGGUCCCCCACACUGGUACUGAGACACGGACCAGACUCCUACGGGAGGCAGCAGUGAGGAAUAUUGGUCAAUGGGCGGGAGCCUGAACCAGCCAAGUCGCGUGAAGGAAGAAGGAUCUAUGGUUCGUAAACUUCUUUGCAGGGGAAUAAAGUGCAGGACGUGUCCUGUUUUGUAUGUACCCUGAGAAUAAGGAUCGGCUAACUCCGUGCCAGCCGCUGC